This 928-nucleotide long non-coding RNA is filed under the name Vigna radiata. Its description in RNAcentral is "long non-coding RNA (VRAD_LNC009423)". Lineage: Eukaryota; Viridiplantae; Streptophyta; Magnoliopsida; Fabales; Fabaceae. The record is from RNAcentral.
AAUGACUAUGUCUUUGUCUGCAGCAACUUCAGGCAUAAUUUAGGCACAACAAAAUGAGGGUAGUGAAAAAUAAAAAUGAAGAAACAUAUCAAAAGACUAUUGUAAUAAAAAAUAUAAAUGUGCAUGGAGAAGUUUAUCAUAUACAAUCACACCAAAAUAAGAGAAAAAUAAUUCAAAAGGAGAAGCAUAAAUUAUUACUAUGUUGAAUUCAGUUUACUUCAUGGGCACAGAACAAACAGAAAAACAAUCUUUUGCAGAAACGCCAACCAAAUGUCACCAAAUAAAAAACCAAUACAUUGUUGUUUCAUGUUUGUCAAUCUUAAAAGUCACAUGUCAUUUAAAAAAAUAUGCAUGGUUUUUACUUUCUAGUCCAUACUAUUCACUUAUGAUCUAAUGGUAAAGAUUUGACCUUCUAGUCCAUACUAUUCACUUAUGAUCUAAUGGUAAAGAUUUGACCUUCUGACAUUUACAUUAAAUAACUCCUCUGACUAGUCAUGGUCUUUAUACCUUUAGGCUGAACUCAAAGAAUGCUGCAGCUUAUAUCCAUGCCUUGUGAAAUUUUUAACAUACAAACCCCUAUUAGAACUCAAAAUAAACCCUAAACCCUAAUUACUCAAAUUAUCCAGGGCACGGAACAGACUAACCUCGUGAGUGUGACAGGGCAGGGGAGCCCAAGGCAGUGGAACCUAAGUAUCACAAGCCACUACGGGUGCAUGACCCGCCAUAGUUCAACUAUCAUUUUAAAGUCCAGACGAGUCAAGUCUAGUAUUUAACAUGAUAGGAUGAAUGUUUUAUCUUGUUUGCUUUUUAAAUUAAUAUCUUGUAUGUACAUGCUCUUAAUUGCAUGGUUUUUAUAUAAUUAGUUCACCCUUGCAAUUGCUUGUGUUUGUGCCAUGUUUGCGUUUGUUUCCUUUGCGAUGAUCAUCCA